GAUCCUGGCUCAGGAUGAACGCUAGCUACAGGCUUAACACAUGCAAGUCGAGGGGCGGCAUGAACUUAGCUUGCUAAGUUUGAUGGCGACCGGCGCACGGGUGAGUAACACGUAUCCAACCUUCCGUUUACUCAGGGAUAGCCUUUCGAAAGAAAGAUUAAUACCUGAUAGUAUGGUGAGAUUGCAUGAUAACACCAUUAAAGAUUUAUUGGUAAACGAUGGGGAUGCGUUCCAUUAGGUAG
This 242-nucleotide ribosomal RNA is filed under the name uncultured bacterium. RNAcentral's name for it is "partial 16S ribosomal RNA". It matches the Rfam family "Bacterial small subunit ribosomal RNA", at positions 15 to 248 of the family's 1533-position model. The record is from RNAcentral.